This 606-nucleotide ribosomal RNA is filed under the name Chaetoceros socialis. RNAcentral's name for it is "eukaryotic LSU rRNA". It matches the Rfam family "Eukaryotic large subunit ribosomal RNA", at positions 79 to 696 of the family's 3401-position model. The record is from RNAcentral. Lineage: Eukaryota; Bacillariophyta; Thalassiosirophyceae; Chaetocerotales; Chaetocerotaceae.
CUCAGUAAGGGCGACUGAAGCGGGAAGAGCUCAUUCUGUGAAUCUGUAUACUAUUUUUGGUAUACCGAGUUGUGGAAUAUAGAAGCACAUCAGUUCGAGUUCUGGUCUAAGUCUCUUGGAAAAGAGCAGCUUAGAGGGUGACACUCCCGUUCUUGGCUAGAACUCAAACUUUAGCAUGUGGUUUCGACGAGUCGAGUUGCUUGGGAUUGCAGCUCAAAGUUGGUGGUAAAUUCCAUCUAAAGCUAAAUAUCGGUGGGAGACCGAUAGCGUACAAGUACCGUGAGGGAAAGAUGCAAAGAACUUUGAAAAAAGAGUUAAAGAGUACCUGAAAUUGCUGAAAUGGAAGCGAAGGAAACCAGUGCCGUUCUAUACCAUUUUUCUGUUCUUGCUUGCGAGAAUAGCGCUGUGGUUUAGUACAGGCCAGCGUGAGUUUGAGCCGAAGGAAGCAGCUUUGCAGGAGGCAGCACAAUUUCUGUGCGAUUACUGCUUAGUUUUGCUUCGGCUUGGACUGAGGCUAGUCACUUGUGCUCGUGACGCUGGCGAAAUGGUUUUCUUUACCCCGUCUUGAAACACGGACCAUGAGUCUAACAUAUGUGCGAGUAUAUG